RNAcentral lists this ribosomal RNA (375 nucleotides) under uncultured bacterium. Its description in RNAcentral is "bacterial SSU rRNA". It matches the Rfam family "Bacterial small subunit ribosomal RNA", at positions 8 to 385 of the family's 1533-position model. The record is from RNAcentral.
AGAGUUUGAUCCUGGCUCAGAUUGAACGCUGGCGGCAUGCCUUACACAUGCAAGUCGAACGGCAGCACGGGAGCAAUCCUGGUGGCGAGUGGCGAACGGGUGAGUAAUGUAUCGGAACGUACCUUUCAGUGGGGGAUAACGUAGCGAAAGUUACGCUAAUACCGCAUAUUCUGUGAGCAGGAAAGCAGGGGAUCGCAAGACCUUGCGCUGAUUGAGCGGCCGAUAUCAGAUUAGCUAGUUGGUGAGGUAAAGGCUCACCAAGGCGACGAUCUGUAGCGGGUCUGAGAGGAUGAUCCGCCACACUGGAACUGAGACACGGUCCAGACUCCUACGGGAGGCAGCAGUGGGGAAUUUUGGACAAUGGGGGCAACCCUG